UACGUAGGGACCGAGCGUUGUCCGGAAUCAUUGGGCGUAAAGAGCGUGUAGGCGGCUAUUUAAGUCCUGCGUGAAAUCCUGCGGCUCAACCGCAGACGGUCGUGGGAAACUGGAUGGCUAGAGUGCGGGAGAGGAGAGUGGAAUUCCCGGUGUAGCGGUGAAAUGCGCAGAUAUCGGGAAGAACACCCGUGGCGAAGGCGGCUCUCUGGAACGCAACUGACGCUGAGACGCGCAAGCGUGGGGAGCAAACAGG
This 253-nucleotide ribosomal RNA is filed under the name uncultured bacterium. RNAcentral describes it as "partial 16S ribosomal RNA". It matches the Rfam family "Bacterial small subunit ribosomal RNA", at positions 524 to 776 of the family's 1533-position model. The record is from RNAcentral.